Molecule: non-coding RNA, 135 nt
Organism: Brachypodium distachyon (stiff brome)
Lineage: Eukaryota; Viridiplantae; Streptophyta; Magnoliopsida; Poales; Poaceae
Source: Rfam
AAGUUACUCCCUCCGUCCAACAAAGGAUGUCUCAAGUUUGUCAAAAUUUAGAUGUAUCUAGACAUAACUUACUGUACAGAUGUAUUGAAAUUUAGUCAAAGUUAGACAUCCUUUGUUGGAAGGAGGGAGUACAAG